This is a non-coding RNA of Meleagris gallopavo (turkey), 7537 nucleotides long. The record is from RefSeq and is a predicted model, not a curated record. NCBI's taxonomy places the organism in Eukaryota, Metazoa, Chordata, Aves, Galliformes, Phasianidae.
GAGGGUUUGGGGAAAGGACAGCUGGAUUUCUUUGACACCAACACCAAUUGCAGCAGCCACAGCCCUGGUGCAUGUUUGCUGUAUCUGCACGUCUGAACAGACCUGCCAGAGCAUUCCUGCCUUCAUUCAGCUCCUCUCGCUAUUUCCUGUGAGUGCGUUUGCUCAGCACCCCAGUACUGCUGUAUGCGCUGCCCUCAGCAUCUCGGUGUCCUUGGCGAAACAGAUUCAAUGAGCUCUGCAGCUUGCAUAUGUGCCAAGUCUCUCUUUGGAUCUCUGUUUUACUAUUUAAAGAAACAGUUUUUUAUUUUGCAGCCUUCCAUUGAUUUAAUGAAUGAAAUAAAAGUGAGUUGUCUUUUGCUGUCAGGGACGUAGUUCAUGUCUCCUAAUAAGUAAUAUAGGCGUUAUCUGUGUUUAAUGUAGAGACGCCCGCCCUUCCUUGAGCCUUGGUGCUGUAUUGCCUGCUGUCUAGAUCUAGGCAAACUUAAAAGCAGCCCAAAAGACAUUUGAUGGGAUCAGCCUGAAGGUCAGUUCUUUGUUGUCUUUGGAGCUUGACAUGAAUAGUUCCAUGGAAAGGGUAGAACCAGAGACAUGGGAAGAGACAUGGAUUGUUUUCUUCAGUCUUUUUUUCCCAAUAUAUAUUCAAAAUGAUAAAAUGCUUCAGGAAUGUAAACUGUAAAGACAGAAGUCGUCUCCCCUUCCCCCUUUUUUCUUUUAAUUAUUUUUUAUUUUUGGGAUGUAGCAAUUUCCUCUUUUUUUUCUUGCAUUUAGAAGGACAUUUUAUUCUGCUCUGGGGUAUUGACCAUUCUAAUCCUCAAAACAUGCUGUUCAAACCUCCUGGAGGUUUCUGCCAAUACAGCUCAUUCAGGCUUCCAGGAGUGCAGGGAGAGGAAGGUAUUAGAAUACAUGCAACACUUGUGGAGGGCAAAGGUAUUGGAGGUUGAGGGAGGGAGGGGUAGGUCCACUGAGGGCCAUUAAACAUAAUGGUCCAGAUGCAAUUGUGUUAGCGGAGAUGUGGGCUCUAAAUGCAGACUGCUUGGUGGAAGCAGGAGAUUUUGAAGUGUUGCAUAUUUGUGUUUGAAGAUGCUUUUAUUUAGUGUAUGGCUGGUUUCUAAAUACAAGUCAUAUAUAAAUACUGCAAAUGUAUUGGUUGUUCUCCUUUCUCAACAGACAGAAAAGAAAUCGUGCCCAGCUGUUCCUCCCCUAUAUGAAGCUUUGUCUGAAUAAUAUGUAGUGGAGUAUGAGAGCUUCACUUUUAGGCCUUCUAGACAAUGCUCUUCAUGAGUGACUGCUUCUGUUCCUUCUGGAAGUCCAGUACAGUUCUAUAGUGAUGAGUAGACCAAGCCUCUAAUGCACAAUACAUGAAAUUUAGAUGGGCACAACUUCUGUACAGUAACAUCGCUGAACUGAGUAUUGCUGGCAGAACAAGUAAAGGAGUGUACAUAUGGGUUAUGUGAGCUCCAGUGUUUAGAGGAAAAAUGAUGAAAAGAAAGAAGAAAAGCAAGCUGCUUAUGGAAAUCAUUUUCCUGCUAUCCUGGGACAUAAAUAAUUUGUGCCAAAACAUGAAGAACUGAAAGUAUUUCUUCAAUGCUUUUCCAUUAUUGGACCAGACUGCUAAGUUUGAACUGAGUGCACUGGUUAUGUAUAUAUGUAUACAUAUGUAUAUAUGUAUACAAUAAUUAAAGCAGAAACAAUAUGUAUAUAUAUGUGUGUAUAUAUAUACACUUAUUUAUAUAUAACCUGUAACAAUUAACUACACCAUCCCCUGAGGUCUAAUAGAAUAUCUGUCAACUCAGCUACAGACACAAUCUGAUCAGCCUUUAACAUUUUACAAAUGAAUGAAGAAAUUGCACUCAUAUGCAAAGAUUUAAUUCCUUUAUAAAACCCAAUGACACCACUGACUCUAUGCGAACAUGUGUUUUCUUAUUUUAACCCAUAUUCAUUGUCUUUUAAAAACGCUGCAGGUUUUGAUGGUGCCUUUGUACCAUCAUUCUCUUCAUAAUGUGAAAAAUGCUUUCAUGUUUCUGAUAGGGAAAUGAUAAUUUGCAGUCUUGAAGAGAUUGUCACAUAAAGGAGACUGCGUGUGCUAAGCUGCAUGUGCUGCACAGAUGAGGUAAUGUCUGUGGUGCACACCAGAUUAACCUGGUUGGAGCACGGAAUACCAUUUUAAUGAUGAAUUAAAAAAGGGGGGUGCGUGUGUGAGCAUAUCGCUUUGGGCAGAAGGGUGAACUCCUCCUCAGAGCAGGUUAAACGUGAGAGAAAGGGGCUGUGCUGCAGAAAUGUACCGCAGAAUUAAUGCAUUGUCAGAGGCAGUUCGGAGAAAAAGAGGAUUGUCCCAAGUUGACGUAUGGCUUAAUGAGGGGCUGGAGAAAUGGAGUGGAGGUGUAGAGGGGAAACAGAUAAAAAUAAUUCUAGUUUCCUCUUCCCAUCCGAAAGCCAGGUGUUACGUAUUUUCUUUGCCUCUGGAGUCUAAUAAAAGACCUGUGGGAGUCGAUGAAAAUAUUUUUGUCUCUGUGUUCUAUUUUUCCCCAAUAAUAGAAAUUUUGAGGGAAAAAAUGAAACACCGUGGUAGUCCUUAAGGUAUUUCUUUAGAUGAUGUAGAUUGGAAAUCAUUUCCUUACAGGACCAACGGUAUAAUCCCAGAUCAGAGUUCAGCUUUUAAGCCAGUUUUGAUCUAUUUUCACAAAACUAAGACUUAAGAAAUUUAAUUGCCAGAUGGUUUGAGAAUCUACUUCCUAUUACACGUGCUAAGCUGGGCUGGAACGUACCCUUUUGAGAAUAACUGAGGUGCAGUCAGUGGAUAUUCUACCUGCAAUGACGUGCUUUGUGUACGGAGCAGGGGAAGAGCACGUUUCGUAGAUUACUGCUCUGAAGCUUCAGAAAUGUGGCACAGUAUUGAGUAUCUAUAUCAUUUUUAGCAAAUACUGAGACUUUGUAGCUUAAUGAUUGGAAGUAUUUACAUUUUCCAGAUGGGAGGAAUUUCGGUCUCUGUUGUGCAGCAAAACUUUCUGCUUUAAUUAUAUGUAUGUCUUUUAAACUGGAAUCAGAAGCUGCUUCACCGACGUGCUCCAUUUAUCAUAGGAGUCCACCUUCAGAAAUAGAUUUUUCAUAACUGCAGAAAUAGAAAGAGAAGUGGAGAGGUCAGUCCUUGUUAAUUGAAGGCAGCCAGUAGCUGAUGUGGACAAUCAUAGAUCUGAGCAAAACCUCACUUGUCUGCUGAUGUACCAUUACUGUGAUUAAUGGUGCAGUACACUUAUACUAACAGUCGAAUGAGUAUAUUAACAUUAUAAAAGUCUUUAAAUGAAGGUUUAUAUUUGACUAUCAUUUUUGAUAGCCAAGUGGCUGUUAAAGAACUGUAUUCACUGUCAGUAGUUUUAUGCCAGUCGAUGCCAAUCCUUUCCUCUAGGGUGACAGCUUGUAGACUCCAACCCAAGGGUCGUUGUUGACAUCAAGCUGCAAGUACCAUUGAGAAGUGAUUUGCAUUAACGUCCCUUCCUGCACAACAACCACAGAAGGGAGUGCGAGGAAGUAUGUAUGACUCCUUGCUUUGCUUCAUGUUACACUUCAGAAUAGGAGCGAUCCUCCUGUAUCUCCCAGCCCGACGCUGUCAGCAAGGCAGCUGCCAUCACAUGUUUCAUUUCAGCUGCUGACCUCAGGCUGCCACUGCGCCUUUUGUGUGCAGGGGUUUCCCAGGCACCAAGCUCUACAGCAGUGCUGUACAGGGUGUGUGUGAUGGGCCUGAGGCUGCUGGGAAGUGCUGGUGUUACUGUAAAUGUGCAGCCAAUUCAGCUCAGGGAGGAUUGGGUGUUUCCAUUCAGUCUCUGCUUUACAGUCAAACAUACUGAUGGAGAAAGGAAGCUUGAAAAGAAAUGUUGAAGUUCCCUUUAUGGAGUUGAAGGUGUGUUCACUUCUCUGCAGGUGGUUUUUGUUUGUUUGUUUUUUCUUUUUUUUUUUCAGUUUUGAACACUGCCCUACAAAUUGUAUGCAAAAGAAAUGCUUUCAUCUCACACUGUCCUCCACACCAGAGCGAUUUCUCAACGGAUUAUAUGGGGCUUCAGAAUCUUAUUAUAUGUGGAGAAAUACACAUCUUGCCUGAAGGACAUCUCGGAGAAAACUCUUAGGAACAGCUGCCUGGCAGAUGACAGUAGGGGUCUCAGGGUGGAUUCCUAACAAAUUGCUGAAGAAGGUUGGCAUGAAUUACAAGACUGAAGCACAAACCAUAGCAGGAGAGCAGAAGGAAUGUCCCAAUGUUUGGAAUCAGCCUGCGCCAUGACCAGUAGCUGCAGCAGCACCACAAAUGGGUGCUGCCAGGUGGGCAGUGGGACUGCCACCCUACAGCCACGUCUGCCUGCUGCCACCCUGCUCCUUUCCCGUUAGUGUUUCCCUGCAGAAUGACUGUGACUUCCAGGGGCACCUUUAGGAAUGUUUCUUUGGUACCAAAGGUACCGCUGAUUUUUUUGUUUUCGUUUUGUUUUUUUUUCUUUCAAGAUAAGUUGUUUGUUUGCAGCCCCUGCCCCAAAGCCACACUCACAGGCUGUCAGCUUCUGGAGCUGAGGAUCUGACCCUUCACCACCAUGGAAAGCAGCACCCCAGCCUAGGUGAACUUCGGCAUAUUUUCCUAAUUGAUGUGAAUGAGAUGAAAGGGAAAACUGACUCCUGUGACCUCUGUAGCAUAAUUGUGUACCAUGUGUUGCAUGAACAAAGGGGUGUGCCAUAGCUGCAUAAAUGUGAACUGACGUCGUUCUACUCUUAACAGCUUUGCUCUGUGUUGUCCAGGUAAACUAACAGCUGUUACCCUUUGCUCCUCUUCUGUCGCCUCCCACAUACCCGGUUUGUUUGCAUGGUGCAGCUUGGUGCGUCUCACAGUUUGGUGCUCAGCAUUGCUGGGAUUUUCAGUCCAUCCAUGCAAUUGUCCAAGACAGAGCAGGCAGAGUGCUGGGGCAGGUCCUUACGUGCAUUGCUGUGCUGUAAUUUGCAGGAGGAACAUGUGGAUGUGGGUCUGCAUUGCAGCUCAGACACUCAUCAGAGGGAUGGGUGAGGCAGUGUGUGUAACAUGCAGAACAGGUGCAAACCACCACUGCUGUGGGACAGAUUCAUUCGAGCUGAUUUUGUGGAUUUCUUUUUCACUUAAAAAUGAGUGAUACUGCAAAGGCUUUGAGCAUAAUUGGUUUUAUGUUAUAUGUUUGUGAAAGAACUAGACCCUGUAUUUUGAUUUAAUUAAGGCUUUUGUGCCUGGCUCAAAACUGAGCUCCUGCCAUAUCUUGCCUUUCACUGAAGGGGCUGGAGCAAUCCGCGCUGAAGUGCAUCACUGUACUGCAUUGCUUCAGCCAGUUCAAAGUUGAAUGCUCAUGCUUGUGUUUUAAGUUAUGUACUUAAAGCUCUUUCUUCUAGAAUUGGGAAGAGGUCAGCAGGAGCUGAGCCCCCUUUCCUUGCCCUCGGUUAGGAUAAAGUUUCCCCACUGCAUGGAGAAGCAGAAUGGUACUAAUUAUGCUCUUGGAACACUGGCAUGUAUUGUAUGUGUGUGCUGGAGCCCCGUUUGUCCUACCCUCAUCUGCUCUUUGGGGAUGUAUGUGACAGUCAAAGGGAUGUUUGAGCUGUGGGAGCAUCAGACAAAUGGGCUGGAGAUACUGCUCAGGAGAAAGGCUGUCCGAAGGGCUGUCUUAUCACUGAUGGUACUUAAUAUAGUCAGGAUAUAUUACUUCUCAUCAAUUGAACCUUUGAUGAGAGGUCUGACUCACUUCUUGUGGCUGCUGUUGUGCUGUAGAGCUUUUAGUACAGAUGUACAUACAGUGCAAAUCAGGAUAUACUUCUGGAAGCAUCCUAAAUGCUGAAAUAUAUAAUAAUGCAUAUAUAAAUGCACGUAUUAUGUAUGUGAGUAUAUGUGUAUUUAUAUAAGGACUUCCACCACAGUAUGUCCAGAUCCAUAAUCAGAGAAACUGGAAAUAUGAGUCUGUGCCUGCAUUGUUAGAACAGCAGCACCUUGUAGUUUCAGCAGCAUUACUGCCGAUGUGAAUGUUAUGCUUGAAGAGUUGGGUUCAAUACCUAUUGUGUUCAGAGAGAGCCUUUCCUGUGCCUUGCGUCAAACUUUAAUUUCUAACUGAAGGUAGCUGUAGCUAGAAGCCAGUUCAAGUGCCUUGGGACUUCUUUGAUAUGUGGAGUGUGUUAUAAAAUAAGUAAUGGUGAGGAGGAAGGGCUCAUGCUUGGCGGAAUGGCCUUCCUGCUUUAGAAACAGUAUCACCUAUAUCUUAGCACUGUAAAUCCUAGCUAUAGAAGAGUCACAGUUAAGGCAAGAUCUGUCUGUGGCCAAUGCGAGGUGGGAACUGCUGCAGAGAUUGAAACACCAGAGCGGGGCGUUCCGGGCAGGGAAUUGGCUUGGGAAGGUGAGGGCACGCGUUGUGCAUGGAGGGGCUGAAGCGCUCCCUGUGAGCAGCUGGCUCAGGCACAUCAAGCUGCAUGGGAGGUCUGUUUAAAACCACUUUGUUUAGCAGAAAAGCAACAAUUAGGAUUAAAAGCAGUUUGUCUGUUAACAUCUAGGAUUAAUUUCCUGGCUCUGACUUCAUAUUGGCAUCUGCAUUGUGAAAGAAUUAAAGCCAAACUUUGGUCAAACAUCUGCAGAGUAUCUAGAAAGUACAGAAGUGUCUCUGUAUGUGAUCUCUGGCUGGGGUCUAUGAGCUCACUGAACUUCUCCCGUUGUCAGGGUGGGCUGUGACAUGUGCCUCUGGUUACGCCUGGCUAUGGAACUACAUUUCCUAAUAGCUGGGAAGCCCUGUAAUAGUGCAGCACUCUUCUUCAGUUGCUUCAUGUAUUGAGAGAAUUCUAGAAGCAAUUCUAGAAACAUGGUGUUGGGUUAUGUCCAUUGGCUUCCCCUGCGGCCUCUCCCUUCUCCAGACAGCUCAGCUCAGGUGCUUUCUUCCAAAGCACAGCCCCUGGUGUUAUUUGCACUGUGGCCCUGCAGAGCUGCACAUGCCGUGGUGCUCUGCUGUCCUCUUCCAUCUGCAUUCCUUACAUUGGCUGCCUACAAAGCAUGGACUAGUUUAAAUCGGUAGUUCUGAUUUUUAAAGCACUUAAUAGCAAUAAAGAUCAGCUAUAUUUGAAGAUCAUCUUCAACCUUCCCUUUCUGGGCAUCCAUGGUUGGUUCAUUGCUUACUGUUUCUUGCUGGCCUGCUGUAAAUUUGGAGGUGUGCAACUUUCCUGGGGUGCAGCUUGCUUUGUCCCUCACCCUGCUGAAACAGCUUGUUACUUUUAGUGUGUGAUGGGAUUUGAUUAUUAACAGCUUGAUGGCUUUUUUCUCUCCUUUUUUCAAGCUGUCUGACAGGAAUGGACCAAAUGCUGUCAGUAUUCUCGUUAAUAAAUUUGCAGCUGCUCAGUGAUGGAGUGCUGCCCCUUUGGAGGGACUUUGGGCAAUGAGCCCUGCUUACUGCACAGGAACAUGAGGAAGAGCAGCUCCUCUCUGGAAGUCUUAAGACCAGGACUUCACCCACUGAGCCGUCGCUACCAAACCUCUGUUCUGGAGCACAGCCCAAACACAGAACGCAAAGGU